This is a long non-coding RNA of Perca flavescens (yellow perch), 1385 nucleotides long. RefSeq lists it as uncharacterized. Lineage: Eukaryota; Metazoa; Chordata; Actinopteri; Perciformes; Percidae. The transcript is spliced from 4 exons. The record is from RefSeq and is a predicted model, not a curated record.
AAUAGCUCUGGUUUUGGUGUGGCGUCUCAAAAAGAAGAAAGACACAGGAGGAGAAGGAAAUGCAGACAAUCCCCAACAGAACUCCAUAAACAGUAAUCAUCCACAUGAAGAAGAAGAAGAAGAAGAAGAAGAAGAAGAAGAAGAAGAAGAAGAAGAAGAAGAAGAGCUGGGUGGGAGUGUGAAAAUUGAACACAGAGACAGUUCAUCGGACACUGCAGAGGAAAGUUCCAGGUUCAAUGGAUGCUGACACAUUGUAAGUUGUACAUAAAUGAAUCGGUCCAAGGUGAAUUUUGGGCACUGUGCUCCAAAGUGAACAUCUGCUGGUCUGCAGCCUGCAUCACUAUCUUCCAGAGAUGUUACUGGACAGAGACUAGUCAGUCUGGAAUAACAGCUUGGAGCAAGUCCCGGACUAAGUCUGUAACGGCUCCAGGCUCUUCACUCAGAACUUCUGCUCCAUCUCUCUCACCUGGACAUUUUGCUGCUUGUACAGUGAGCUCUCCUUGUGUGGAACUCCUUAAAGGCCAACAUGUUCCCAUCCCUGUCAUUCCAAGCCACAGAUCACCCAGACAUCAUGUGUCUGAAGGCAGGUAUCAUCAGAGAGCUAACACCUGGCCCCCCUGCCCCCCCGGCCUCUUGCCUCUACUGAAGCCCCUCCUGACCAAGCUUCUGUCAGGACGGCUCUGCUCAACGCUCGCUCCCUUACCAACAAGACAUUUCUUCUCAAAGAUGGAUUUUUUUAGGGAAAAUUUGGAUUUUCGGAUCCUUGCUGAAACCUGGCAGAGGAAUACCGAGUAUUCAUCCAUUAAUGAACUUUGUCCUGCAGACUGUAGCUUCAUCAGGACACCGAGGCUGUCAGGCCGUGAUGGUGAUCUGGUAGUGAUUUUUAGAAAUAGCUUUAACUAUCGGUUGGUUAGCACCGAGACUGUCCUCUCAUUUGAACUCAAUAUGACUCGGAAAAAAGGAAAAUCCUGCAUUCUGCUCUUGCUGCUAACAUUUCGGUCCCUCUGGACCUUCGUCAAGAGUUUUCUUUAAUAAAUGGCGAUGCUGUAGCAAGAGCAGAGCGCGGGAUUUUCCUUUUUUCCAAGUUUGUGAUAUUUUCCAGUGCACCUGCACAGACGAAUUGUUGGAUGUGCAAAUUAUUUUUUCAAAUAAACUCAAUGUGACUAAAAUUGGUAAGUCAAAGCCUUUUUAUUUUAAUUUACUGACCUCACGGCCCAUCUGACCCUAUCCCGUCUGAUUUUACUGAGUUUUUAUCUUGAGUUAUAAAGUUGGACAUAGUUUUAAUUAUUAGUGAUUUUCAUGUUGAUGAUGCUUCUAAUGCUGCAUCUAAAUUUCUUGAUAUUACUGAGCUUUUUAACUUUAUACAACAUGUUUCUGGACCCACA